This is a long non-coding RNA of Pseudophryne corroboree (corroboree frog), 1038 nucleotides long. RefSeq lists it as uncharacterized. Lineage: Eukaryota; Metazoa; Chordata; Amphibia; Anura; Myobatrachidae. The transcript has 2 exons. The record is from RefSeq and is a predicted model, not a curated record.
UGAGAGAGCUCGAGGAAGAGACGACAGUUAAACGGACGGGGGAGAGUGCUGGGGACUGAGCGGCAGGAGAUGGAGCUGCGUACUGCCGGAUGACUGUAAAAAGUGCGACAGACCUGGCUCUGGACGGCGACUCUGGGGGAGAGAGAUACUGACCAAGUUCCCCAGCGGCUCCUGUGAAGUGGAUAGCGGGACCGAAGUGUGGACGGCUGUGGCGAGCGGCGACGGGCUCCGACAUCAGCAAAUCCCUCUGGGCGGAGCGGAAGAGGAGUCUCCUGAUAGUGACCCUGUGUGGCUGUGGGCGGUGAUAUCAGUGAGUCCACAGCAGAGCUAUUCCUCGCUGGGCGGAUCAAGAGGCGGCGCUGCCCCACAAACCAGGCCCCAAAUCGGCAUCACACUGCUGUCUACAAAGAAUCUACUAACUUUUUCAUUGCUAGCUAGACAGAUAAUAAUUGCAUGCACUCCAUUUUCCGCUAUCAGAAGGGUCAUAGGAAUAGCACAGGAUGACUAAUUCGACACGUCAUUGACCCUGGAAGACAUUAUUACUCUUCACAAGUUAUUAUAUGGAGACAGGAAUUUGGGAUUAAAUCCAAGCGCUAUUGUUGACGACUCACAGGGGUUAAUUUCUGAGAUAGAAACAGAGAUUCAACCGACUAGAGACACAUUGUUUCUACAUACGCAGGAUAUUGUGCUGCUACGGCCUGGAUAGCUUACUAACGCUUAGUGAUUAGUAGUUUGGUACCCUAUUUACAGUACUACUAUGGGAUUUUAAAACCACAGUGGUGGCCACCCCGAACGAUUGAACUUUAAAGUGAUCACUUAAGGUAACUUAUUAGGUAAACUGCGCAGAAGGUACAAGGUAAAACCCGGGUACACAGUCCAUCAGACUGUGGUUAUUUUAUAGUUUUUUGUAUUGCAUGCAUUGACUUUGUGGCAUAAUAUUGAAAUAAGGAUUGUUUUAGCGGAUGUAAAGCCUAAUUUGAUCCGAUCUACAGGAUGAUUAAUUAAAUGUUGAGAGUGACAAUAAAGUUACUUACCUAA